AACCUAGCACACCUGCGGUGUGUACCUGCGGAAGGAUCAUUACCUAGAGUUGUAGGCUUUGCCUGCUAUCUCUUACCCAUGUCUUUUGAGUACCUUACGUUUCCUCGGUGGGUUCGCCCGCCGGUUGGACAAAACUUAAACUCUUUGUAGUUGCAAUCAGCGUCUGAAAAAACUUAAUAGUUACAACUUUCAACAACGGAUCU
RNAcentral lists this unclassified non-coding RNA (203 nucleotides) under soil metagenome. Its description in RNAcentral is "partial contains 5.8S ribosomal RNA, internal transcribed spacer 2, and large subunit ribosomal RNA". The record is from RNAcentral.